RNAcentral lists this ribosomal RNA (253 nucleotides) under uncultured bacterium. RNAcentral's name for it is "partial 16S ribosomal RNA". It matches the Rfam family "Bacterial small subunit ribosomal RNA", at positions 524 to 776 of the family's 1533-position model. The record is from RNAcentral.
UACGGAGGGUUCAAGCGUUAUCCGGAAUCAUUGGGUUUAAAGGGUCCGUAGGCGGUUUUGUAAGUCAGUGGUGAAAGCCCAUCGCUCAACGGUGGAACGGCCAUUGAUACUGCAAGACUUGAAUUAUUGUGAAGUAACUAGAAUAUGUAGUGUAGCGGUGAAAUGCUUAGAGAUUACAUGGAAUACCAAUUGCGAAGGCAGGUUACUAACAAUAUAUUGACGCUGAUGGACGAAAGCGUGGGUAGCGAACAGG